CAUUAUAUAAGUUGCCCCCCGCCAUAGUUUUAGUCUAUUUGGGUUUGCGUUUAGAGAACGGUCCUUUUUCAUUUCAGAAUGAUCCUGGGGAGUAAAUGCCACACAGAUGCUUUUCAGGUUAUGAUGGCCAAAUGCUCCUCAUCCAUGUAUUUGGACAAACUGAGGCUUCAGUCUUUAUCGGCCAUCUCAACUGGGUGAAAUGUACUUGGUCUUGCUUUUAAUGUUGCCAUUGACAAGUUUGGGCCAGUGCUGAACUACUCGAGUGGCUUGAGUACAACUGCAUGUAAUGCAAGGCAACUUCUGUGAUGUGGACCUAGACUAUAGCCAUAUGUGACUCCUGUGACAUGGAACUAGAGACUUGGCCAUAUGUGACUUGAAGUGUACCCUGCUGAAGGAAGCAAAGUUGGCUGUCCGAUUCUAAUGUUUCAUGGGAAAGUCUGCAGUCUCAUGGGGAUAUACAGAAUGCAAGCAAUUUAGGAGCCUGGGGGUUUGUCUAUUAAAAAUGUAAAAGUAAAUGGUUGUCUUGAUUUGGUCGUAACAGAUUAUCCAGUAUAAUAAACAAGUUUGGUAAAGCUU
This is a long non-coding RNA of Protopterus annectens (West African lungfish), 576 nucleotides long. RefSeq lists it as uncharacterized. The record is from RefSeq and is a predicted model, not a curated record. NCBI's taxonomy places the organism in Eukaryota, Metazoa, Chordata, Ceratodontiformes, Protopteridae. The transcript is spliced from 6 exons.